UGGGGAAUAUUGGACAAUGGGCGCAAGCCUGAUCCAGCCAUGCCGCGUGAGUGAAGAAGGCCUUAGGGUUGUAAAGCUCUUUUGGCAGGGACGAUAAUGACGGUACCUGCAGAAUAAGCCCCGGCAAACUUCGUGCCAGCAGCCGCGGUAAUACGAAGGGGGCUAGCGUUGUUCGGAUUUACUGGGCGUAAAGCGCACGUAGGCGGAUUGUUAAGUCAGGGGUGAAAUCCCGGAGCUCAACUCCGGAACUGCCUUUGAUACUGGCGAUCUUGAGGCUGGAAGAGGUUGGUAGAAUUCCCAGUGUAGAGGUGAAAUUCGUAGAUAUUGGGAAGAAUACCAGUGGCGAAGGCGGCCAACUGGUCCAGAUCUGACGCUGAGGUGCGAAAGCGUGGGGAGCAAAC
RNAcentral lists this ribosomal RNA (401 nucleotides) under uncultured bacterium. RNAcentral's name for it is "bacterial SSU rRNA". It matches the Rfam family "Bacterial small subunit ribosomal RNA", at positions 355 to 773 of the family's 1533-position model. The record is from RNAcentral.